UGGAGGACUGAGAAGGUUGAGCAGCUGGUGUUGUGCUGUUAUAACUGGUUAUAACCUCCAAUAUUAAUAGACAAACCACACAAAAUCACUGGCUGUGUCAUAAACAGAGCUAAUGCGUGUGUUUGUGAACAAAAU
Molecule: small nucleolar RNA, 135 nt
Organism: Scatophagus argus
Lineage: Eukaryota; Metazoa; Chordata; Actinopteri; Scatophagidae
Product: small nucleolar RNA SNORA47
Exons: 1
Source: RefSeq, a predicted model, not a curated record